This 72-nucleotide unclassified non-coding RNA is filed under the name Rhodotorula toruloides. The record is from RNAcentral. Lineage: Eukaryota; Fungi; Basidiomycota; Microbotryomycetes; Sporidiobolales; Sporidiobolaceae.
AGGUAAGUCGCGAGGACAUGGACCUGCGAGUCGAUAAGCACCUCCCCAACACGGCUCAACAACUCCCUCUCC